This 229-nucleotide ribosomal RNA is filed under the name uncultured bacterium. RNAcentral describes it as "partial 16S ribosomal RNA". It matches the Rfam family "Bacterial small subunit ribosomal RNA", at positions 568 to 796 of the family's 1533-position model. The record is from RNAcentral.
CGUGUAGGCGGUUUGGUAAGUCAGAUGUGAAAGCCCUGGGCUCAACCCAGGAAGGGCAUUUGAUACUGCCUAACUUGAGUAUGGGAGAGGAGAGUGGAAUUCCCAGUGUAGAGGUGAAAUUCGUAGAUAUUGGGAGGAACACCCGUGGCGAAGGCGACUCUCUGGACCAAUACUGACGCUGAGACGCGAAAGCGUGGGGAGCAAACAGGAUUAGAUACCCUGGUAGUCC